UACAGAGGGUGCGAGCGUUAAUCGGAAUUACUGGGCGUAAAGCGUGCGCAGGCGGUUUUGUAAGCCAGAUGUGAAAUCCCCGGGCUUAACCUGGGAAUGGCAUUUGGGACUGCAAGGCUGGAGUUUGGCAGAGGAGACUGGAAUUCCUGGUGUAGCAGUGAAAUGCGUAGAUAUCAGGAGGAAUACCGAUGGCGAAGGCAGGUCUCUGGGCUGAAACUGACGCUCAUGCACGAAAGCGUGGGGAGCAAACAGG
Molecule: ribosomal RNA, 253 nt
Filed under: uncultured bacterium
Lineage: Bacteria
Description: partial 16S ribosomal RNA
Rfam family: Bacterial small subunit ribosomal RNA
Source: RNAcentral